Molecule: ribosomal RNA, 443 nt
Filed under: uncultured bacterium
Lineage: Bacteria
Description: partial 16S ribosomal RNA
Rfam family: Bacterial small subunit ribosomal RNA
Source: RNAcentral
CCUACGGGAGGCAGCAGUGGGGAAUAUUGGGCAAUGGGCGCAAGCCUGACCCAGCAACGCCGCGUGAAGGAAGAAGGCUUUCGGGUUGUAAACUUCUUUUAUUGAGGACGAAACAAAUGACGGUACUCAAUGAAUAAGCCACGGCUAACUACGUGCCAGCAGCCGCGGUAAUACGUAGGUGGCAAGCGUUAAUCGGAAUUACUGGGCGUAAAGCGCUCGUAGGUGGUAUGUCAAGUCAAGGGUGAAAUCCCCGCGCUCAACGUGGGAACUGCCUUUGAAACUGGCAAACUGGAGUGUGUGAGAGGAUAGUGGAAUUCCAGGUGUAGGAGUGAAAUCCGUAGAUAUAAGGAAGAACACCAGUGGCGAAGGCGGAUUACUGGACGAUAACUGACGGUGAGGCGCGAAAGCGUGGGGAGCAAACAGGAUUAGAUACCCCUGUAGUC